ACAGCAUUUCCUAUGCCUCGAAAUCUACCGGAGGGAGUACAAUGUCUUUCACUAUGACUAUCAACUAUUUAUCACAAACUGAAUCCUCUUUCUGCUUCAUUCUGCAUUCUAUAGUGUUGCCUGUGCCCCUACCAAUAUGACACUUUAUUAACUUGAAACACUGGCAUGCAAGAAAGGAGUAAUGCAAAAUGGAACGGACAGAUCAACUCCAAGUAACCACGGCCGCUUAUUCAUUUUGAAUUGGGGCCAAUUAUUAUCAUUUUUGAGGAAGUAUAUAUUGUUUCUUGUAUAUGUUAA
Molecule: unclassified non-coding RNA, 297 nt
Filed under: Hevea brasiliensis (rubber tree)
Lineage: Eukaryota; Viridiplantae; Streptophyta; Magnoliopsida; Malpighiales; Euphorbiaceae
Source: RNAcentral